This is a long non-coding RNA of Pseudopipra pipra, 6392 nucleotides long. RefSeq lists it as uncharacterized. The transcript is spliced from 3 exons. Lineage: Eukaryota; Metazoa; Chordata; Aves; Passeriformes; Pipridae. The record is from RefSeq and is a predicted model, not a curated record.
CAUAAACCAUAUUUUAUUAAUGAUAUUUUUUUACAGUGACAGUUCACUUUGUGCCCAGGCAAAGGUAUUUUGGAGUAAGAGGAAGAUUAGCUGUUUUGCAUUAAUUAUCAGAGGGAACUACACAGUUUUUUCUCCACAUCUAUGCAGGGAGCAGCAUCCAAGGAAUAUUUGGAUCCCCUUGUUCCAAUGUCAGGCAAAUCUCUUCUAAUGAAAAGUUUAAAAUAGUUAAAUAAGAUGGAUCAGGAUUUUUCAGUCAUUAGAGUAGUUCUUAAUACAUGACACAUCAUUUUUUCCCCAGAAUACUAUAGUGAUGUGAGUAUCCUGGUAAAGACUAAGGGUGAAAUAAUUAAAAAUGGCUGAGUGACCUUGAAAGUCAUGUCUUUCUGAGCAUCAGUAGGGGCUGUGCACAUUAAUUAGUGUUUUUCAAACACUACUCUUAACAUUUACCAAAGCAGCAAAACUUUCCCUCAGUCAGUCAAGGGCAGGACUGGCUAGCCUGUGACUGUUGGCAUAUUUGUCUUUAUCAUGAUUUUCUUAAUAUAUGGUUUAAUUUGCAAAAAUACAUUUAAUAUUUUGUUAAGGAAAGCUCCUUUGAAAAUAUUUGUUUAUUACAGCUCCAUUUGAAAACGUGCCUACGAAUAACAGAUUCAAUUGCUAGUACUACAGAGUAGCUACUUCUUAUCAAUGACAGAAAUGUGAGAAAAAGGACACAAAAAAUAUGAUUUAUUAGACAGGACAUUAGUUCAAAGGUUGUAAAUGCAACUAGUUAAAUUUUAUCAAUCUUGAUCAUAACCAAAUGUUAAUUGUAAUAUGACAUUGAAAAAAAUCUUUGUUUUCACUGUAUUUAAUAAAAAAGUCCUGCAAAGAAGAAAUUGGUUAAGGUUUACAGUUAAGCACAUCUUAUUAAUAAAAGAAGAGUGAAAUGUCUGACAAAUGUCAAUAUAUAGCAAAUAGAAAAUUUUUACAGCAGUAUCUAUUUUAUUGCUAAGUUAUUUCAGAAGUCUCAUAGUCAGGAACACUGGAGACUAGACUAGAUAAGACACUGAGGUAACAAAAGGCAAAACAAUCUUGUGGUAAUAAAAAAAGGGAAAAGGAUUAAUGUUUUCCAUUGUCUUUAGUGGUUUUAUGCUUGGCCUGUAAGUUAUUGCAGUCAAAAGAUGGAAAAAAUGCCUUGUUGAUAUUUGGUUGGGUCUUUCAAUAUUAUUUUAUUAAAUUAUGGUGUGAUUACAUUUCUGUGAGUGUUAAAGUAAAUAAUUUUAGAUAAGGAGCUUUAAUAUAUUUGUUCUUUACCUACUCAAAGGUUGAUCAUACUGUAUUUGUUGACUCUGAAGACAAAUAACCUUGUCAAGGGAUGCCUAAUUGCCGACCAAUACCAUAUGUGCUUGCAGAGAUUGAAAUAUGCACUUGUGUUCAUAAAGGUAACUCAAGCCAGAGUCAACUCUCCACACAGAGCCAAAUUUUGAUUCUCUGGUAGAAUUUGCCUGCCUCUAGGGGCUUAGAUUACUGCUUGGAUAAAGUGCACUGAUUCAGUUCCACCAGAUGAAAUAGAAAUUCCAGCUGUGAAGGACUCCUGCAAUUCAACAGUUUCCCAACGCAGCUGACUCUGAGCACGAGCUUAGACACUUUCCCCAUACAGGGCUCAAGCUUUUAGCAGCCACUGAUUCUGCUUCAAGUAGAGGUAAAGAAAAGAAUGAUGGUUUUUUGCUUCUAUCAUACAGAAGGUGUUGGGAAGAUGGUCUAUAACCAGAGGAUUGUGUUGCAAUGCUUAGCAUGAGUUAAGGCAUCCAGGACAGAUAUAACUUGCUUACAGAUUUACUUUAGGUUUGGACAUUACUUUAUGCUGCUUCUUUUGAUCAUCCCUGGAUUUCAACAUGUUUUCACUAGAAACCCAAGUUGGAGAGGAAUAGGUAACAUUGUGUGAGUAAAAGCGUUUUCAGUAAAUAUUUUCGAAGCAUAGUAAGAUAAUUUUUAAUUACGCAUUCCUCUACAUUGCAAGAGUUCCAGCACAAAGCUGGUCCAAAGACCAGCUAGAUGCAAAUGACAUUUUCUCAUUUCAUUAUCUAAGCUAGCUAAUAAUUUCCUGAAGAUUUUAAAUGGGCAACAGUCGAGUCAUGACCUUUCUUAAGCUCAUGGAGGUAAGGAGCAGUUACAUUGGGACUGCGUGAAAACAAGCAGCUAUAUUUGUUUUGCAGUCUUCCUGAUCUGAAUUUGUGAAAUUGAGUUCUUGACUUGGAUGAAGCGCUGCAGAAGGGACUUUGAAAGCACACUGACAAAGAGGUGGAGAGCUGCAGUCUGUUCCCACAAAAUCAGCAAUAAAACUGACUUCAAUAAGCGCAGGGUGAGGUGGGGAAUGACUCUAUGCAGCGGCAUCCCACUGGUUGCAGUGACCUGUUUCAGUGGGCUUGAAAGCCAAUUUUCGAGGAAGACAGACUCCAUCCUGCUUUGCCAUCAAACUGAGGUCACACAGAGCCUGUGCAGGCUACAGGAUCAGACACUGAGAACAUCUAAAUUUUUUUGUAGGCUGAUCACAUUUUUCAAGUGAAAACAUUGAGGCACUUUGAAAAUGAAUUGCAUAUAAGCAAUUUAAAUAAAUUAGGAUCUGUAGCUUACUGGUAUCGCAGUAUUUUUUAAUGUAAUUAAUAGCAUAUCAAAUGGAUUGCUCUUCUAAGAUAGGUGAAUUAUCACAGAGAUGGCUGUUAUCUACUACAAAUACUUUUUUGUUAUGUGCUAGGUUUAUGAAGGUCAGCCAUGCUGUGAUGUGAGUGACUGUUGAAAAUAUUAGAGAUUUCUAACCUGUACUGUUCCUGUUAUUAUUGUAAGAAUUGUAUAAAUUGUAAUAAAUGGUAAUACAUACUCAACCUUUCACUUAGUUUUGAUGGUGUGUCCCCUACACUGAUACAGCAACUGGAACACGUGGCAAACCAGAAAAGUGAAUUUUUUCUGUUCACUGAAGAUACAGGGUGAAAUGACUGAGAGGUUAAAUCCCAGUUUGAGUUGCAAGUCAAGUGAAACAACGAAAAAUUUCACUUUGAUGAGUCAGAUCUAAGAAUGUUGCUGUAAUGAAGGAUAAUUAUGAUGACAGAAAUUAAGGAUAGAAUUACGAUAAUUGAAAACUGUUGCGGCAGAUAUUAAAAGACCCUGGAGUUCUGGGGCUGUUAAACAUUACCAUUAAAAUCCUGGUAAUUAAAAAUACUUGACAAAGGAUGGGUGAAUAUUUAGCAAAACAAAAGCUUAACUAUUAGUUUCUGAUAAUCCUGUUAAAUUACACACUGUAUUUAUUACAUGUUUGAGUCUUCUGUGACUGAGACUGCUUGAUGUCAUAGGUGGUUUCCAGCAUCUAAACCUUCCAUCUUAAAUCUUUGGAAAUAGGUUUAACUACAAAAAAAAAAAAAAAAAAAACCAGAGAGAAGAAAAUACCAGGAAAGCUCUUGUGCUUCAGCCCAUUGCUCUAAUCAAGCACAGACACGAUAAGAUAUAUGAAGGUCUAAUUCCCAUGAAAGUUUGUUUGUGACCCUGUUCUUUGCAUUGUAUGACUGAAAUGUCUCAGUUCCUGCACAGCUGCCUAAAGUUCAUUUCAGGCUGAGUUUGUGGCUGUAUGGUGUGCAUUAUUCCACUCUCUUUUGUGCAUUUUUGGGGUACUUUUUCUCUAAGGGAACUGCUUAUAUUUUCUAUUUUGAGAGAUCUUCUUAGUUUAGCUAUCCUUGGGUUACAGAAAAAGCUGCUUCUGAUCGUCUGUGUAGAGAUCAAGGGCAGGAAAAGGGCAUCCAAAAGACCAAGGACGUGUAAGAUUCAAAUCUCCCAUCCAAAGGCAGAAACACCACCAAAUUUUUGAUGUGGUUUACUACUCUUUUGUGGGAUCCUACUCCAUGACAGCCAAACAGCCAGGAGAUGAGGUGCUGUUUGCAGAUGCGGCCAGAAGAAAGAAAAGGACACAAUAGAGGCUGCAGAAAAGAGAUGGAAGAGAUUCAACAAAUAUAACGAAAUAUCUGCUCAGAAGGGGCAGAAACAAAGAAAAAUUAAAUGUUACAAGAGCUGAAAAAGAAAGGGACAGCUUUUUGCUGGUAAAGAGCAUGAGUAAUUAGGUUAUCCUACAUAAUCUGUGGAGAAGACUGGAAAUCCCAGAAGGAGAUAAUGACACUACCAGAUCAUGGCUGGAAUGCAGCUUGUAGGAGAUUGAAAUUUCUGGAAACUCUUUCAAAGAAAUAUUUCUUCCUGCUUAUGAGAAGAGGAUCUUCCUCCUGUCACAAGAAUUUUCAUCAAGACAAUUGUAAGAAUGUUUAAUUUAAUAUACCAUAGAAUUAUUUGGGUUGGAAAGGACCCUAAAGCUCAUCUCAUUCCAAUGCCCCUGCCAUGGGCAGGGACACCUUCCACUGCACAAGGUUGCUCAAAACCACAUCUGACCUGGCCUUGAACACUUCCAGGGAUGGGGCAGCCACAGCUUCUCUGGGCAAUCUGUGCCAGUUCCUUCACCACCCUUCACAGUAAAGAGUUUUUUCCUAAUAUCUGAUCUAACUCUGCCCUCUGUCAUUUUUAAGCCAGUCCCCCUUGUCCUAUCACUACACACCCUUGAAAAAAAUCCCUCUCCAGCCUCCUUGUAAGUCCCCUUUAGGUACUGGAAGGCUGAUAUCUAUCAGUAACAUUUAUUUCUACACGAAGGAAUAUCAGGAUGCUGCAGAAAAUAACCUGUAAGUGCAGUUCUGUGAGCUGUGAAAUCCUGAAACAACUUUCCCAUAGUUGUUCCAUGCAGCCUGGCUGCUUCCCAGGGAGUGCAGAGCAAAGUAGUUGAAAUAACACCACCAUCUGCUGGGCACCUGGUGAAUUCAGGGAAUGGAGAGCUCGUUCAGAGAUGGAAAUGUGUGUGACUCCCAGCCACUGCUUCUCUGGUACAUGCUAGAAUAUGCUUGGUAAGCCCUCAUCAUGUAAUUCUUCAUUAUUUCUAUUAUUAUUUCUGACUGAUGCUUUUCCAGGCUGCUUUCUAUGUAAGACAUAGCUAAACAGAUACAUAAUAAAGAAUAAAAAAUAUCUGCCUUGCAUGGCAUAAGGAAGGAAAUGGGGAACAUUUUUCAUAGUAUUUCUGUGUGGGGAGCAGCACCAGUAGAGCAGUUGUGCCCUGUAAAAGAUAUAUUAAUUUAAUUCCCAUUAGGACUGAUAUUAUUUGCUCUUACAGAUCUGUUGCUAGGUCUCAUGCAGCUGCACCCAUCAAGCCUGAAAAGAAGAAACCUAGAAAUAGCAACAUCCAUGGACAAGCUGAGGUGCAUACCACAGCCAGAUGUGGAGAUCAGUAUGUCAUAAAGACCCAGAAACGAUUCUUGCAGCAAGUAUAAGUGCUGCAGGAUUUCUUGCUGUUGGAUGUGUUAGACUUACUGUAGCCUCCAUCCGAGCUUAUUUCUGGUACAAAUGUUUUCCAGUGAUGAUUAGAGGUAUCUGUGACACACAGGUGGUAUUCUGCAAAAAAAAGAGCUGGAAAGCCACAAGCCUACGAGCUCAGCUGACAUGGGUAAGGCACAUCAUCUUCUAUAGCCUGAGGCACAAACAAGGAUGAUGUGGCUGGUAUUGCAUGAAGCAUUUCCCCUGCCCUGCCAAAUGACCAAAGACCUGCUAACAGUUGGAUCAGUAGAGAAAUGGCUUUCACGGGAGCCAAAAAAAAAAGGCUAAAAUGUGUCUGUUAAUGUAGUGAGACAAUCUGCUGGGGUCCCUGAAACGAAGAUGAGUGACAGUCCUCGUGUGAAAAGACAGUUGAGAUUUUCUCCUCCUGCAGAGGAAAAAUUGCUGGAGUUAUGUGAGACCUGCCCCCACUCCAACAGCACUUCGAGUUUUUACAAACUUAUAAAAGCUGUUAACACCCCCUGCUAUUUCAGACCCCCAUAGGGGUAAAGAAAAAUAGGAUGAAGUCGUUCAACCUCCUCACUCUCCUGCUCGGUGUUCCUGAAAUUUAAAGCGCUUUCCUUUUCAGGGAGAGAUGCCCAGAGGAGACACAAUUGCUACCUGAGCUGCAAAGGUUUGCCUGGAGGCAGGACAGUGUAACACUGCAGGGUGAGGAUCCUGAGGCUGGAUGAAGAACUUGGUCAUUCUAUUACAGGAUAUGUGGAGAUGGGGGAAUAUUCCUUACUGCAAAGCUGAGGAUAAGCAGAAGCUUAGAACAAGGCCUAUAGUGGUAUGGGCAUGGGUGUGGCACAGCAUCCCUGCUGUGAGCCCUGCCAGGGCUCCCUCCUGUAAAAAUCCCUGCAACAAAAUGCUCACUGGGGAUAUUUAAGUUUGGGGUUUGUUGUUUUGUUUUUUGGUUUGUUGUUUGUUGUUUUUUUUUCCCUGUGUGGCUUUUAGAUUAGAUUCUGUUUUGUGCUAAUGUAUAUUUUUACAGCUGAAUGGUGGUAAAUCCCUAGCCUCAAAAAUCU